CAAGGUGGGUUUCGCCUUGUUUCGGUGCGAUCGGAUUACCGACGGAGAUGAAAAUAUCUCAAGCCCUCCUCGAUUCCUUUCACUCCCCCACGACCCCGCCGCCGCCGCCUCCUCUCCUGCUGCCGCCGCCGCGCCACCACAGCCACCUCCUCUCAUCUCUGCCUUCUCUCCUGCUGCCCCCGCCGCGCCACCGCAGCUGCCUCCUCUCAUCUCUGCCUCUCCUGUUGCCCCCGCCGCGCCAGGGCCUCGCCUCGCCCUCAAGUGCACCGUCGACCUCCCAGACCUUGUUCUCCGCCUCGUCGCACUGACCACCUUGAGCUCGAGCCGAGGAGCGGCCCGUGUCGCGUGGUGGCCAGAUGCGGCGGCCCCAUGCUCAAGCGCGGUGCUGGUGAACGCGAGGAGCAGCAGCCACUAAAGGACGCGGUGGUCCGUGCCGUCGCCGUCGCCGUCGUCUACCGGCAGAAGGUCAAGCCAAGAUGAAUCAACAACACUACAACUGAAACGACCAUAGGUCCUGGAGCCGAGGUGUUCGAUAAAAGCAAAAUGGUGGAUCUAUCACUUCUCUCCUCGUUCGGUCAGAAGGAGCAGUGAGACCGGAGCUGCGGAGAGCCGGAGUCAGGGACAAGAAGCAGCAGGGACCGGGCUUCCGCUGCAGUGGAGUGGAGCUGCAGGGAGAGGAAGGAAGCACCAGAAUUGUUAAUUUGCUUCUGCACUCACCAGGGAUGUAGAUCUCCGGUUCCAGAGGCCGGAUCACCCCUUUCCUCUGAACCUUGUUCUGGAGCAAGAACUGCAACAGAAGAUGGGAUGAAUUAACACAUGUUCCUUUCUGAUGUAGGUGCAGGAUGUCUGUGUGUGUGUGUUGUGCUUGGAGUGCAGUAGUACCAGGGCUCCUAUCGCUGCCAGUACCCCGACGGUGAAGGCCAUGGCGGUGGUCAACCUGCUGUUCUCAAUCUUUCAGAACUCCAGCUGCGUCGCUUGGUGCUUCUCGGUGGGUCGCCCGUCGGGGUACUCCACCUCGACUUCAUGGUGGAGUAGUACCAUAUCCUGAAUCGUGGGAGCAGAGCAAACAUUUAGCUCAUCAUGGUCCAAGCCAUUCUCUGUUCGGAGUCGGGGACAAGAAGCAGCAGGGACCGGGCUCCCGCUGCAGUGGAGUGGAGCUGCAGGGAGAGGAAGAAAGCCGGUGACAGAAGAAAAGAAGAUGCCGGCUCUGGUUCAUCAUGGAGAAACAGCUGCUCGCCCUCCUCCGCCUCUUCCCUAACCAUGGGUUCGUGAGACAAUGCCAACGAAUUGUCGGUCACGGGUACCGAGUCACUCUCAUGUGAGGUAAUUUUAACUUCUCAGUUGGAUAUUAGUCAACAUCCUUCAAGUUAGGAAUGUUCAGUGUCCCCAUAUCUAAUUUAUCUUCUUGGUUACCCUUGCUCCACGUUCCUCUGCUCCCCCCUUGCGUGUUGACAAUGGAGGCUUUACAUCACAGUGUGAGGCAGUGGUGCCUGCAAUAAGUGUAGAUGACGAGGAAGAGCUGCAUCCACUAGGUCUCUUCUCCAUGGUCGUUGUGUUCCCAAGCCCAUGUGAACUUUUUAUCUUUUUUAUUUCUUCACUUCCAUUUCUCCACUUUUCUAGGCCAAGAACCGUCUUCACUUUUCAGGUUGCUGCUGCUACAAAUCCAAAUAAUUGUUUUGUUAUCCAUGGUGCUUCUCAAUGUUCAAAAAAGCAGAAAGCUUAAGCGGAGCGGAAGGCCACAACUCAGAGCAAUGGGCGCUUAAGCGUAAGCGCGUUUAAGCGUUUUUUUUAAAUUGGCCAGAAUCUGACUGUUUCUGAGUAAUAUGCAGGGAAAAUAGGAAAGUUCUCUCUCUUCUACUGAUGCAAUAGCACCAUCAUCAUUACUAGCAUUAUCUCCUUUGUAAAUUGGAGUUGUUAUUUUUGCUUGGAAGUGAAGUUGUUACCUUUGUUUCUUUGUUAGUAAGUGUAAAUAUAAAAUUUGAUGUCCAUAUUUUUUGCAAAUGAUGUCUCCAUCGGGUACGGGUGUUUUCUUUUGCCAUUUGCCAAUUAUACUUGCCCCCUUUUGCUACUCAAAUGCCGAUGAUGAAUUAAAAAAUAAGAUGCACUGGAGAUGGGUCUAUACAGUACCUAAAGGAUGUAAUAGUUUUCCAUUGGUUCAAAGUGAUGUGAUUAUGUUGUGAUUUUCAGAAUUGCUACUCCAGUUUUGUUCACCAUUCAUAGAACAACACUCUGCUGGUCUUGCUAUUCGCCAUUUUCCUCCCCACUAUAAUGCUGCCACUCUGUGAUGCCUCGGCAAGAAGGCCAAUCGCAGGGAGAUACGCUAUGGCAUGUCCUGAAGAGGCAAUCAGGUAUUUCGGUGGCCUCAAGCCCUCAACCCUCUGGAUCAUCCGUCCGUUGUGCGUGCUCUCAUCCGGGUUGCCGAGGGACGCUUCCUCCUGCGGCGCUCCUGUCCAAUUUUUUGUUUAUGUAAAAAAAUUCUUACCAUCACCUCACCUAUUUGGAAAAUUAGGUGAGCUCUGCAAUUUGGUUCUGUAUCCUUAAAGAGGGAACACAUUUUUCCUUAGUCAUGCUACCAUAGUAACAUAAACUCUUACUCCAUAGUUACAAUCCCUAAAUUGUGGUGAGAUGCAAUGCUAAGCAAAUGGAAGAUAACAGUUUGUACCAUCAAAAGUUCAAUUACAGUAUUUUGCCCCACUAAAAGAGAUGGAUAUUAGCAUUGUCCGUGGUGCAUUUUGUUUGCAUUUCCUGUGAUAGAAACGGGUGCAUUUCGUUUACAUUUUGCCAUGCCGGAUUUUAGAUACGAUGUUGAUGCCUACAAUUCGUUUUACUGAAUUUAUGUGGCAGAUGAGAACUGAUACAUUACUGCCCUCAAUCCUUGUGCUUUUCUGUAUAUUUAGGAACAUGAUACUACACUUGAUCUUUUCGUAAAAUAAAAACUGCUUGCAACAGAGAUGAUGCUUGUGAUUUUAGUCAGCUAAUGUUGAUACUAUAUGGGAUUUUUUUUUAUUGAAGGAACUGUGCACAUAAUGAACCAUAUAUUUCUUAUCCAGUUAUGUAUGCUCAUUACUAAUCUGAUGUGUUGUUUUCUUGUGAUGGACACUGUUGCAUUUGUUGUCCAUUUUUGCCAUCUUCAGCUUCAGGUAUCUGCUUUAUGUGGAAAUAUGCCAAUGGAUAAUAUCCUCCGGAUUAACAAGUUCCUGUGUGCUGCUGCUCUUAUUAUCUACCUGGUAGUCUUGUCUGACACUUCUAUUAAUGGCUUUUUCCUCUGGAGUACCAAGAAAAAUAGCAGUUAAUUUUUUUUUCUUUUUGUGACUUCUUAAAUGUUUGUUUCUUGGAUGAGUCCACUCAUUUGGUAUUUCUCUGUGCUAUUGAAAAUUCUGUGAUGCUUACUGUCUAGCUGAUUUUUGUAGACCAUUAGUUAAGAAGGUUGUUGAUUAUAAAAAUGGCACCAUAAUCUGUCAUAUGGUGGUAGGAAAUGUGGUUACAUGGAAUUCUUUAUCUUCUUAGAUAAAGAACUAUUAUCAAAUAAAAUCUGUAUAUGAAUUUCCGUGUCUCUUGGUUAUUUUAUAUGUACGUUAUAUUAUUCCUAACCAAUUUCUUAGUAUUACUUAGGGUUUGUUUGUUUGGGCUGCCAUUUCCAUGGCUGAAGCUGAAGGAGCGGCUGUAGCUGGUAAUGAAGAGAGGCACUUUGCAUUUCUCCACCAGAAGUAUAGAUCGGUAAAGUACAGAGAAGCUUCAGAGCAUGGUAGCAUUGUUUAUGAGAAGAAUCCAGGACGGACUGAUAACCUACUUCUUCUUGGAGUUAUCUACUGUCAGUUUAUGACUUGGUGCUAGCCGGAGCUUUUAUUUUCUACCAAAACUACUAUUAACAAAAGAACUCUAGCGAUCCAGGAUUUUAUCCUAAGCUGCUAUUAAACUCACAAGAGGGAGCAUUUAAUAACAAAAGAACUCUAGCCAUGCUUUUUGAUAUACUACGCAUAUGUAUGAUGUACUAGCAGUUCCUAUUUUUUAACUAUUGUGUACCAGAGAAUUGAAUUAGCUAUUUCUGCAUAAAUAUGAUGUAUGAAAUUAUGUCAUGAGAGGGAUGUGUUCAUUUUCAAAACUAAGUUGGAUGAGCUUAAAGCACUUAUUCACCAGUACAAGUUAAAUAUGCUUUUAAAGUUUUAAAUACAUUUAUUUUUUUAGAGUACAUCAUCUUUUAUUUCUAAAGGAAUACUGGAUAUGCUCAUUUCUAUAGCCACAGUACAAGUUAAACCAUCCCAACUCCAUAGCAGAGCUACUCCAAACAGAACUGGAAUGAUUAUAUUUUUUUAUGGAUUUUACAAAUUCAGCAGGUUGAGCAUUUUUUUUUUGUGAUUUUCAUACUCAGCGACAACUUGA
This is a long non-coding RNA of Triticum dicoccoides, 4380 nucleotides long. RefSeq lists it as uncharacterized. Lineage: Eukaryota; Viridiplantae; Streptophyta; Magnoliopsida; Poales; Poaceae. The transcript is spliced from 5 exons. The record is from RefSeq and is a predicted model, not a curated record.